Macrobrachium nipponense is the source of this 4130-nucleotide long non-coding RNA. RefSeq lists it as uncharacterized. The record is from RefSeq and is a predicted model, not a curated record. Lineage: Eukaryota; Metazoa; Arthropoda; Malacostraca; Decapoda; Palaemonidae. The transcript has 5 exons.
ACCCUAUGUAUUAUAUUAUGGCAUAAUUAAAAUGAAAUCAAGGUGUUCAACAUUUAAGUCUAUACCACUUCUAGUUGGCUGUACAAUGUCUGCCAACCUUGUCAGAUUUUGAAGCUGUCAAUUAAUCAGUCAAUGAAAGUGUAAUGCUUCCAAAUAUAAGUAUUCGUGUAAAAUCACCCACGACUUGGCUAGGUCAGACAGCAAAGUGAGGGCGUGCAUUUCAGUAUUGAUAAGAGUAUGCCAGAAAGAUCUACCGCCUGUUUUGUGAUUGGUAUGGUGUUGGCGUACUACCUUGGUGGCCGCAAGUUAGAUUCUCGGCCAUUCCGUCGAGGUGUGAGAUUUGUAUUUCUGGUGAUAAAAGUUCACACCGAUGUGGUUCUGAAGUCACGUAAAGUCGGUUCCGUUGCUGAAUAAUCAGUUUUCAUGCAACUUAAAAUCACCAAACAAACAAGCACCAGCAAAAGAUCCCAUAGCAUGUAAACUUAACGGUUAUUUGAGCACGCUAUGAAUGUUUAGGGAAAUUAACAAUUGACCAGCAGUGGGCUUAUAAAGGUUAACAACUCGUUACUGUUGUCGAAGCCUAAAAAAAGUUGGUUACUAAAUUUUCGUGUGAUACAACUUUUAAAAAUACGUACCUUUUUACUGGUAAAGGUUAGUUCAGAUAACUUGACAUUCGCUGUCUGACCAUUUUCACUGAAACGCUGAUGGUUGGCUGUAAGAUGGGCCAGUUCUUUGCAUUGUACGGAUUUUCUGUGAAGUGAAUCCUUGAGGCCAAUUACAAGCGACGUAGCACUAAAUUAUAUUGAUGACUUAUUGCCGUUAAAAAUCUUUACGAUGGAUUUAGUGUAUUUAUAUUGCCCUAAAGGAUUUUAUUUAAAACAUUUUUUGGUCUAUUGCCCUUGGGGAUUUUUUUUAUUUAUUCUGGCUAUCAAUCACUCCAGGCAAACACCGUAAGCAUCCUGGUGGUCGUGGUAAUGUUGAUGGUCAACAUCACCUCAGAAUAAAGUAAUAAAUACCAUCCUGGUUACCUUGGGUUGGUAUGAGAAAUUUCCACGUUAGACCCAACCAGAAAUAGUGUCCCAUCAUUAACCUUGAUAAGAUUUGGUCUUUGGUAUCCACACAGACGAGAGUGCAGUAUAAAGAUCCCAGAAUUAGCAAAGGAAGGUCACCUGUUAUAAACUGUGAAAGUGGGAUACUAAGGUACUUGGGAAGGGAAAGCUCCCCAAGCAGCCAUUGAUUGUGAAGGCAAGAUUCUUCUCAAGAAAAGCUGAGCAAAAGAUUGAGUCAGUCGGUGGCUGUUGUGUACUAGUUGCAUAGUCAGCUGGAGCUCUGGAAGUUUUGCGGAAAAGGAUAAACGUUAUUUCCGUAUGCUUUGUUUCACUUAUUUGCAACCCAAAAAUAUAGGUGAUCUGGUGUACAGCUGUAUCAUAGGAUUUGUUCUAAGAGUGAGGUUAGCUCUUGUAAGUUGGCUUAAACUUUGAAUCUGGUAGGGAAUGGGACCCUAUGUAUUAUAUUAUGGCAUCAUUAAUAUGAAAUCAAGGUGUUCAACAUUUAAGUCUAUGCCACUUCUAGUUGGCUGUACAAUGUCUGCCAACCUUGUCAGAUUUUGAAGCUGUCAAUUAAUCAGUCAAUGAAAGUGUAAUGAUUCCAAAUAUAAGUAUUCAUGUAAAAACACCCAGAUGGUUACUUUCAGCACGACAUGGCUAGGUAGGUCAGGCAGCAAAGUGAGGGUAUGCAUUUUAGUAUUGAUAAGAGUACGCUAGAAAGAUCUAUUGCCUGUGUUGUGAUCGGUUUGAUGAUGGCGUACCACCUCGGUGACCGCAAGUUAGAUUCUCAGCCAUUCCUUCGAGGUGUGAGAUUUGUAUUUCUGGUGAUAGAAGUUCACUCCCUCACCCGUUGCUGAAUAAUCACUAGUUCCAUGCAACGUAAAAACACCAUACAAACAAACCGAUGUGGUUCUAAAGUCACGUAAAGUCUGUUCCGUUGCUGAAUAAUCACUGUUUCCAUGCAACGUAAAAUCACCAUACAAACAAACACUAGCAAAAGAUCCCAUAGCAUGUAAACCUAACAGUUAAAACAUUUGAGCACGCUAUGAAUGUUAGGGAAAUGAACGACUGACCAGCAGUGGGCUUAUAAAGGUUAACAACUCGUUACUGUUGUCGAAGCCUAAAAAAUAGUUAGUAGCUCUUAACUUUUCAUGUGAUACAACUGUUUUAAAAAUACCUUUUUACUGGUAAAGAUUACUUCAAACAACUUACAUAUGCUGUCCGACCAUUUUCACUGAAACGCUGUUGGUUGGCUGUAAGAUAGGCCAGUUCUUUGCAUUGUACGGAUUUUCUGUGAAGUGAAUCCUUGAGGCCAAUUACAAGCGAUGUAGCACUAAAUCUAUAUUGAUGACUUGUUGCCGUUAAAAAUUAUUACGGAACUAACUGUAAGUAAAACAAUAGUUUAGCGGAUUUAUAUUGCCCUAUGGGAUUUUAUUUAAAAGAUUUUUUGGUCUUUAUAUUGCCCUUGGGGAUUUUUAUAUAUAUAUUCUGGCUAUCAAUCACUCCAGGCAAACACCGUAAGCAUCCUGGUGGUCGUGGUAAUGCUGGUGGUCAACAUCACCACAAUAAACUUUGAUAAAUACCAUCUUGGUUACUUUGGUAAGUUAAGUCGAAGUUGGUAUUUUAUAUUAUAUGGUAAAUUUUACUGACACAUUGUGUUGUACUGUAAUUUAUGAUGUUAAAUUUGUUGAGAAAACCUCAGUAGUUAGAUCUGUUCCAAGCAGAGUUGUUAGCAUACCUGAUUGCAAUUUUGAACCUGAGCUGAUGCUUAGAGAAUGUGUGUGGAAGUCCAGAAGUUUACUGUAUUCUGUGUAAAUUCUAGUAAAUGAUUGUAUUUUGCAGGUUGGUAUGAGAAAUUUCCACGUUAGACCCAACCAGAAAUAGUGUCCCAUCAUUAACCUUGAUAAGAUUUGGUCUUUGGUAUCCACACAGACGAGAGUGCAGUAUAAAGAUACCAAAAUUAACAAAGGCAGGUCACCUGUUAUAAACUGUGUGAAAGCGGUAAGUGUAAAACUUGGGUUACUCUUGAGUGGUUGUACCAAUAUAUGUAGUAUGUUAAGUAAAAGCUCUUAGAUAUGUUUGAAAUUUUUACAUCUGUCCAAUAUAGUAGUGUUACAUAAGACUGCUGUAGACGUAUAUACAAACCACUGAAAUUAAUUUUAUAAUCUUAAAAUACGAGUGGCAACAUUUCAGUCAAAAUCCAAAUCAAGCAGGUUUAGAAAAAGUAAAUUGGAUUAGUAUGAAGGAAUAUUAUAAAGGGAAUGGAUAUAAAAGAAGAACUCCAGGUUGUGCAUCAUUUCUGGGACAAGCGGGAAGUACCUUUGAAUUCCCAGUGGUCCAGUCUCCAGUAGUAGGCAUUUCCUGGAUAGUAAAUAGGUGUAGACAGAUCAGAGGACACUUGUACACAACUCUGGUUUCACUGUAUACUAUGACUUUCAAAUAGAUGAAUGAGAUUGACAUUAAUUCAACUUGUAAUAGCAGACUUGGAGUGGUUAAGUUGUGAGGUUCCACAGUAGAUAUUGUUACAAAUUUUAUUUAAUGGCUUAAAACUUUUUUUGGGUGAUAAACAAGGCGGGGGGCUAUCUUAUGUAAGGCAAUUAGAAGGUUUAUGUCUUACUUUCAAUAUAUAUCCCCUCUGAAGAUCACUCAAAAUAUUUCUUCAUAAAGACAAAAAUUUCAUAGGUGUUUUGUGUUCUGAAGUGUUUGUUAUUUGUAUGAAAGUGUGGACAGAUUAUAAGUUGUUUAUCAUCACAAUACCUUGUUGAAGAAGAGCAAUUAUGUAAUGUUGAUUUGUUUGCUUGCGUUAUAUUAUGUAGUGAACAUGGUUGUGAUAAAAUAUUGUUUCUAUGAUGUUAACUAGAACGGGCGGUCAGACCUUUGUGUUGAGUGUUCUAUUCUGAGCAUAAUGAGAAGAAUCAUGAAAUAUUGCUGAUUGAAAAGAAGCAGCCAUUGAUUGUGAAGGCAAGAUUCUUCUCAAGAAAAGCUGAGCAAAAGAUUAAGUCAGUCGGUGGCUGUUGUGUACUAGUUGCUUAGUCAGCUGGAGCUCCGAAAGUAGUGCGGAAAAGAAUAAACGUUAUUUCCGUA